RNAcentral lists this ribosomal RNA (254 nucleotides) under uncultured bacterium. RNAcentral describes it as "partial 16S ribosomal RNA". It matches the Rfam family "Bacterial small subunit ribosomal RNA", at positions 524 to 776 of the family's 1533-position model. The record is from RNAcentral.
UACAGAGGGUGCGAGCGUUGUCCGGAAUCACUGGGCGUAAAGGGCGCGUAGGUGAUGGCUUAAGCGUGCGGUGAAAGCUCGGAGCUCAACUCCGAGUCGGCCGUGCGAACUGGGCUCACUGGAGCAUAGUAGAGGCAGGUGGAAUUCCGGGUGUAGCGGUGGAAUGCGUAGAGAUCCGGAAGAACACCGGUGGCGAAGGCGGCCUGCUGGGCUAUGGCUGACACUGAGGCGCGACAGCGUGGGGAGCAAACAGG